CAGUCGCCGCGGUAAUACGAAGGGGGCUAGCGUUGCUCGGAAUUACUGGGCGUAAAGGGAGCGUAGGCGGAUCGUUAAGUUGGGGGUGAAAGCCCGGGGCUCAACCUCGGAACUGCCUUCAAUACUGGCGAUCUUGAGUAUGAGAGAGGUGUGUGGAACUCCGAGUGUAGAGGUGAAAUUCGUAGAUAUUCGGAAGAACACCAGUGGCGAAGGCGACACACUGGCUCAUUACUGACGCUGAGGCUCGAAAGCGUGGGGAGCAAACAGGAUUAGAUACCCCUGUAGUCCCUGUCUCUUAUAC
RNAcentral lists this ribosomal RNA (301 nucleotides) under uncultured bacterium. Its description in RNAcentral is "partial 16S ribosomal RNA". It matches the Rfam family "Bacterial small subunit ribosomal RNA", at positions 509 to 807 of the family's 1533-position model. The record is from RNAcentral.